UCUCAAAAAUGUGAUUAGUUUUCUUUUUAAAUGGGCUGUUUGUCUUUUCACUUUUAAUUAAAAGGCACAGUGACUGAAGAUGUCUGAUGUCGAUGAGGGUUUCAUCUGUACAUGGCUCCUGCUUCAUCAGCAUCCAGCUCUAACUCUCCUGACCAUGUGGCAACAACUUAGAUAUUGGACAUCUUUGCCAAAUGCCUGCAUGAGGUGGCUGUAUGUGGCAGAGCAAGUGGUCUUUGGCUAUGAAGACUUUGGGGAUCUUUUGGCACAAAAGGGUAAAAAUGGCAUCUCUCUUCUCUCCAUUUAUACCUCAAUACAUCCAGAGGGUCUUGUGGUUAAAACACAACAGGAGACCUGUGCCCACUUUGCCAUAGAACUCCUGUUUAACUUUGGGUAAGUCAUUUAAUCUUUCUGCACCUGUUUUCCAAAAUGGAGAUAUUUACCUACAGUUGUUUACAGUGGCUUAAUUAAUUAAGCUACUGUAAAUUAAUAUUUGUAAAGCACUGUAAGAUCUUCACAUUGAGGGGCUAUAUAUACAUAUAUAUGCCAAGUAUUAUGAUUAUAUGCUAUGCUGAUAUAAUUAGCUGGGAUCUUUGAUCAUUUUUAUAAACUCACAGUUUUUUCUAGUAUCAGAGGGGUAGCCGUGUUAGUCUGAAUCUG
Molecule: long non-coding RNA, 657 nt
Filed under: Chrysemys picta bellii (western painted turtle)
Lineage: Eukaryota; Metazoa; Chordata; Testudines; Emydidae
Description: lncRNA (ENSCPBG00000006882.1)
Source: RNAcentral